RNAcentral lists this unclassified non-coding RNA (244 nucleotides) under uncultured Scytalidium. RNAcentral's name for it is "sequence contains ITS2". Lineage: Eukaryota; Fungi; Ascomycota. The record is from RNAcentral.
AACGCACAUUGCGCCCCUUGGUAUUCCGGGGGGCAUGCCUGUCCGAGCGUCAUUUCAACCCUCAAGCUCUGCUUGGUCUUGGGCCUGGCCGUCGUGGCCGGCCUUAAAAUCAGUGGCGGUGCCUGUCGCAGGCUCCAAGCGUAGUACAUCUCUCGCUCUGGAAGCCCGGCGGUGCCUGCCAGACAACCCCUAAUUGUCUCUUACGGUUGACCUCGGAUCAGGUAGGGAUACCCGCUGAACUUAA